This 1349-nucleotide long non-coding RNA is filed under the name Oncorhynchus kisutch (coho salmon). Its description in RNAcentral is "lncRNA (ENSOKIG00005029817.1)". Lineage: Eukaryota; Metazoa; Chordata; Actinopteri; Salmoniformes; Salmonidae. The record is from RNAcentral.
CUUAUUAGUCAAUGCAUCACUAGUGUGUGUUACAUCUCAAUGAUUUGACCUUAUGUCUGUACAGAUUAUUGUGGCCAAGCCCAACAUCCUUCUCCCUGCCUCUGUGAGUGCCCUGAAGAAGGCAUCACGCCUGAUGGAGUUGGUCCCUACUGUCCGGCCCUGCAGGGAGCAGCUGGACAAGAAGACACAGUGGACCAACACCAACGAGGAGAGCCUGAGGAGGAUUAAAAAAAAACUGGCCUCCAUAGAGCUCGACCUGGAGGAAGGCCUGAACAAGGUCAACGACGGUCAGGACAUCAACCAAGAGAGGCAGAAGAAUGAGGGAUGCUUCAGAGCCUGGAUUGAGAAGUGGAUGGGGAAGAGGAAGGAGGAAAGACUGAGGGAUGAAGAUGUGAAUAGGGAAGAUAAAGGGAGGAUGGGCGAGGAAGUGAGGGCACUGAUCCAAGUGAUGAAGAGAAACUGCAGUGAAAGUGAUCUUGAGGCAGUAAACCUGGACAGUUGGCUGAAUGACUUGGAAAGGUUGAAAGUGGCCUUCAAGAAAUGCACUGGAGAGAUGGCCGAAAUGAGCCCAGGGAAAGUCUCUGGUCCUGUGUCUGGCCUCUCUCCUCUUGUGACCUCAGCACCCCGGACCCUGGCUGAAGCCCUACAAGCCCUGCCCUCUGCUGUGGCCCGUCCCUCCCAAAAGGAUGUCCCAAAGCCUCCGACACCUCCAAGCCCUGUCUCUGUCAUUGUUGCUUCGCCUGCUGUGGAGUACUUACCAUACCACCGCAGCCCUCGCCUGGCCCCAAUCACCAACCUGAGUGAGAACGGCAGGAAGCUGCUCCAGAAAAUGUCAGGAGUGACGCCACAGGUGAGAGGAAACAGGAAGGGAAUAUUAGCCAUAUUUCCUUCUACAGUAUAUCAUACCUCUAGAUACCAUAGCUCAAGAGUAGAAAAUAGCCAUAAGCUUAUAUUACUUUAUCUCCUUGUCCAAAAUAUUCAGGAAAGGAAGGUCAAAAGGAAAAAGACCAAGGGAAAAAAGCAAGUGAAGAAAGAGAAGGCCAGUAAGAUGCAGCAGGUGGAAAAUGUUGGAGAAACUAAGGAGGACAAGAAAGAUGAAAAGAAGAGUCUGAGGAAGAGGUUUCUCCAGUGGCUGCUGCCCAAACUGAGAUGUUCGAAGAAAUAAUGGCCAACUACUACUACAACACACACACACACACACACACACACAUACUAUUGAUAUUGGUCUCAUUGUUUAUUUUGAGAUAUGCACCAUUCUUAAAAAAUAAAAAAGACCCAAUAAUUAUAUUGGUUCCCAUACAGCCUACUAGUAGGUAUGAUAAUAUGACAAUGCGUGUAAUUUCAGGCUU